Molecule: long non-coding RNA, 5749 nt
Filed under: Piliocolobus tephrosceles (Ugandan red Colobus)
Lineage: Eukaryota; Metazoa; Chordata; Mammalia; Primates; Cercopithecidae
Description: lncRNA (ENSPTEG00000012659.1)
Source: RNAcentral
UGCGUCACAUAAAUGAAAAAAAAAAAAAAAAAAUUGUCUAACAUAUUAUUUUGUAAAUUGUUACAUACUUAUUAUUUAAAUUUAUACAUUUUACAUUAAUCCCCUUGCACCCCACAAAAAAAAAAAAAGAAAAAAAAAUUAAAUAGAAUAAAAAAAAAAAAAAAAAAACAUGAACAUUGAUAAAUUAGACUUAUUAUAUACCUAUAAUCAUAGCAGAAUAAGCAGCUUACAUAAGGACCAAAAGUAUAAAGAUACCAACAAAAAUGUGAAAGUAAAUGACUUACCAAUAAAAGAACAAAUGGGUCAGCAUAAAGAUGUAUAUAUGAUCAAGCAAAAUAAAACUGGUGGCAACCAAAAUGAUGAAGUUAAAAUAAACUUGGGCGACAAAAUAAACAACAGUCAAAACAAAAAGUUAUUGAUAAAUAAUAAUACCAAAACAAAACAACACAUUUUAAAACAUGAUUUUUAUAGUAGAUUAAAAUCAAAUAAUGUGUUUAAUGGACAUGCAAGAGAAAUUGCAACAGUCCCUACAUUAAUAAGUAAUGACUGUAAAACGGUCAUAAAUCAUUAUGAUUUUUGUGCAAAUUAUAAUUCUAACCCAAAUGAAUUCAUUUCGAAACCAAAUGACACUACAGUAUUAAAUAACAAAUCGGAAUAUGAUCAACUUUUUUAUAAAAAUUUUAUUAGUGAUUUGGAUACAACUAGUAACAAGAUUAACACCGUAAACAAUAGAGGUAAUACAAAACAAAACAUAUUUGAUUAUUCAUUAUGUAACAAACAAAUAAAAACGAACAAAAAAAAGAAAGAGAAAGAGAAAAAGAAAGAGGAAGAAGAAGAGGAAGAGAACGCUAGGAAUAAAAAUAAUUAUAACACAAACGAACUAAAAGAAAAUGGUAUAAUAAACAGUGUAUGUUAUUCAAAUGUAAGUGGUACCGAUAAUUUGAGUGUAAGCGAAGUCAAAUCUGUUUAUAAUCCAAUUGUUGAUAGAGAAAAGGAAAUAAAAUUGGGUAACAACAAUAUUGAUCAUCAUGUCUAUAGUAAUUGUUGCAGUAAUUAUGGUGACAUUAGCAGAGACAACAGUUCCGAGUUAAAUAUAAAAAGUAUAUCACAACUAAAAAAUAAUUUAUUCACGAAUAAUAGACGCACCGAAUGUUUCGACCAUUACAACAUAAAUGAAAAAUAUAAUAUUAUUAGUAAUAAUAAAAAUAAUGAAUUAAUAACGUUUGCAAAUAAUGAUGUCGAAUUGAUAACACAAACACAUGCCCUUCACGUUAAGAGUGAGGAUGACUUUAUGUUAAGUGCCGAACGCAGUAAUAACAAAAUAGUUGUAAAUAACAAAAACGAACAAAAAAAACUUGGUAAGCAUUUUUUUAAAGCAAAAUUUAAUCAAAAUGAUAUAGCAUGCAAACAAUAUCAGCCACAGUAUUUUAUUCAAGAAGAUGUAAAAAAAUAUAUAUCUGACCCUGAAAAUGAGGGUGAUGAACUAGUAAAAGAGAAAAAAAAAAAAGANNNNNNNNNNNNNNNNNNNNNNNNNNNNNNNNNNNNNNNNNNNNNNNNNNNNNNNNNNNNNNNNNNNNNNNNNNNNNNNNNNNNNNNNNNNNNNNNNNNNUUUAUUAAACAGUUCGAAUACAUUACCUGAUAAUGCAAUAGAAAAAAAAAAAAAUGCUAUUUAUAAUGUUAAAAGUGUUAAAACUAUUGUGAAUGAAUUAGCUGACAAAAUGCAUCAUAUCGAUUCGGUUUACUUUGAAGGGCGAGUGAAGAGCAAACUGACUGGAGCUAAAUGUGAUCAAGCUGAAUCUGAUAGUAUAAAAAAAAAUAUUAACAAUGAUCAAAAUGCGCAAAUGGUUAAAUCAAGUGAACACAUAACUUGCUUAAAUAUUGGUGCAUUAAAAAAUGACAAUGCCGUUUUUCAGAGCCCAGGUAAUAACAAAAGUGAUAAAAAAUUAUGUAAUUAUAUGAGAGAACAAAAUAAAUUUUAUACUAAAAAAAAUAUUACUAGUAAAAUUUAUGUUACUAACAAUGCAAAAGAAACAAAAAAAAAUGAACAAUUAAUCGAAAUUGAAAAAAUUGAAAAAAGUGAAAAAAUUGAAAAAAUUGAAAAAAGUGAAAAAAUUGAAAAAAGUGAAAAAAUUGAGAAAGUAAAAUGUAAUGAAAAGCUUGAUGAUUUUUAUGCAUGCAAAAAAAACGCUUUUGAGGUUUUAAAAAAAAAAUUUUUAACUAUUAGCAAUCGUAACAACAAAAGCCGCAAUAGCAGUUAUAACAAUAAGAAUAAUUUUCGCACCCAAACCUGUGCCGCCGGCCCUAGUGAUAAUACGAUGCAAGAAGAAUCCUUAUGCCCUAUGCAACAAACAAAUCCGCAUAUGGUACCUUUUUCAAAAGAAUUGUCAUUUAAAAUAAACAAAGAAGAAACAAAAAAAAAUUUAACUGCUAUUGCUAAUAAAAAUAGCAAUUCCAAUAUUAGUAACGCAGGAAGUUACAGUAACACAGACAGUUGCAGUAACGCAGACAGUUGCAGUAACGCAGACAGUUGCAGUAACGCAGACAGUUGCAGUAACGCAGACAGUUGCAGUAACGCAGACAGUUACAGUAACGCAGACAGUUGCAGUAACGCAGACAGUUGCAGUAACGCAGACAGUUGCAGUAACGCAGACAGUUGCAGUAACACAGACAGUUGCGGUAACACAGACAGUUGCGGUAACAACUGCUUAAUCUCAAGUAGUUCCGAAAAAAUAGAUAUACUAUCACAUAAAAUAGAAGAAGAAAAAACAAACAAACACUUAAUUAAUCAGCAAAGCCAUAUCAGCCAUUCAUUUAAUAUAUUAAAAUAUAACAUGUGCACUGUUACUAGUAAUAACAAUAAUAAUAGUAAUAAUAAUAAUUAUAAUAAUAACAAUAAUAAUAUUAAUAAUAAUAAUAAUAAUAAUAAUAAUUGUUCAGGCAAUAUGACUAGGGGAAGGAUAAGUGUAACGAAUGAAGCAAGUGGUUUUAACAAAAAUUCAAACGGCUAUAAUAAAAAUAAGGUACAAAAUAUCCAAAUAAAUAAUACAUAUAAAAAAGAAACUAUAAACUGUUGUGAAAAACCAAAAAAACACGAGACUAAAACCUUGAGCUUUAUAAGUAACGAAACAACGCAUAUGAACAAAAAAGAUACGAAAAAAAAAUACGAUGUGUUAGGUAGUAAUAACAUUAACUGGGAUAGUGUUUUUCCUAAUAAUAUUACUGCUAGAGAUGUAGAAGAGCUAAACAAGCAUAAAUUAUUUUUUGAAGAAAUAUGUAUAUUCCGAAUAAAUGAACAUAAUGGACAACACAAUGAGAGUGGUAAUUAUGAUGAAUCCACUGAAAAGAAAAGAGACAAAAGCAUCAUGAAGAAAGUCGUACGAGUUGAUAAUGAUUUUAUUAAACGACGCGACUACAUCAGAGAAAAUGAAGAUUUGAACACACAUAAUCCAUUUGUCAUUUCUUCAGAUGGUGAGUAUAGUAAAAACGAAUUUGAAUUGGGAAAUCCAAAUUACGAAAACUUAUAUAAAGAAAUUAAAAAUUUAAUGAAAGAAGAAGAAACAUAUUCAAUCGAAAUGAAUGUUGGAUUAGUUUUUAAAAACUAUAUUACUAUAUCCAUUAUUUUUACAUGUAAUUAUUUAAUUCUGAAAAAAAAUGACAAAAACAUAGUAACUUGCAUUCCUUAUAGUAACAUUAACAAUGUAACUAUAGUAAAAAAAGGAAAAAAAAAUAAAGACAGAUAUACAUUCAAAGUGACAUAUGUAUUUAAAAAAAAAGAAGAUAAGGUUGAAAAAAAUAUUAGCCUAUUAUUUCGGUCGAAACGAAUGGAAAUAUUUGAAAAGCUACAAGAGAAAGUAAAAUACGUAUUAACAAAUACAAAAAAAGAGUAUUUAGAUAUAGAAGUUGUUUUCCAAUACUUAAUUAAUAAAAAUAAAAAAAUAUAUAUAUUGCAUGUACAUAAUUUAAUACAAAAUAUAUACAAAAUUGAUAAAAAAUAUAUAUGUAAAAAAGCAUUUGAUUUAUUAAAAAAUUAUAGUGAUCUUAUAAAAAAAGAAGAACUAUUAAAAAAAAAUAGAAUUCGGUUUAUACAAACCAGUAGUCAUAAAUUAGAAUUUGUAUUAAUAAAAAAAAUACAAAAUUAUUUAAAUAUAUUGCUUAUCAAAAGUUAUGAACAUAGUUUUAUAAAUUACCAAGUGAAAACAAAUGAUUUAUUGUGCAGUAUGAUAGUAAAAGAAAAACAUAUUUAUGAAGAAAAAAUAAUAAAACGAAAUUUGUUAAUAUUACACAAUGCACUAUUAACGAUGUACAAAAACCGUAUGUCUAAAUAUUUUCGUUCUUUUUUUAAUAACAAUAAAGUUGUUAGUCAAACAAAACAUAUACUUACAUAUGCAUUAUCUCAUGUGAACCAUAUAUUAAUACAUUAUCAAAAAAGGUUACAAAUGUUUGUAUUAUCCAAACUUAGAUUUAGUUAUGAAAACACAACUUACUUUACUUUUGUCAUGUAUAAAAUAUAUUUGAGAAAAGUAUUUUGGGCCUAUAUCCGAUUGAGAAACAACAGUGUUAACAUAAAAUUGUUUAAAGAAAAUAAUGUUUAUCGGUUAAUUAAAACGUUAACCAAAAUGUUAGAUAAUCAAAAAUAUUAUGCUUUUUUACAAAUACAAAAAUAUAUAUAUGAUAAAAAAGAUAAAAAAAACCAAGAAAUAUGUAACAACUUAAUGUAUGCAAAUGACGAACUAUCAAAUAAUUUAGAUAAAAUAGAAAUAGAAAAAGGAAUUAACAAAAUUGAUGCUGUUUUAAAAUUUAAACUUAAAGAAAGUAUAUUAAAAAUGUUUUAUACAUUAAAAGGACCACAAAUAAACACAACAUAUGCUCAUCUAUAUAUCAAAUAUUCAAGUGUUUUUUCAUUCAUAUUAAAUAAAAUUGUACAACGAAAAGUAAAAAAUAUAUUCUACCACUUCUUGUUAAAAUGUUAUCAAAAUAAUCAUAAGCAAAGACUUAUAUAUUCUAUCCAGUGUUUAGAAAAUAUAAUUAAAAAAAAAGAAAAAAAAAAUACAAUCUACCUAUUACAACUGUUGGAUCAUUACCCAUAUCUAUUCAAAUAUAAAAACUUAACUGUAAUUGAAAUAUUUAUAAUUAGUAUAACAAAUUUUAUUAACUUCUGUAAUAAAAAACUACUAGUCAAUUUUAUGUUAAAAUUACAUUAUAUCAAAUACCAAAAAAAUAUUAUGAAUACUUAUAAAUGUAUUAACAAUAUUUAUAGAUUUAUACAUGUAAUCCAUAAAAAAAUAAAUAAAACAACAAAACCAGCAUUUUUACUACUCAAACAAUAUGCAUAUCACAAAACAAAUGAAAUUGUUACCGAACAAAUUAAAGAAAAAAAAACACAACUCAAAUUAAAUAAACAUAUAUUAAACACAGAACAUAAAAGUUAUUAUCCUUCAUCCCGCUCAUCUUCUUCUUCUUUUUUUUUAAAAAAUAAACAUUUAUAUACACCCAACGAGUUUAUCUUUGACUAUGGAAACAUAAACGAUAGUAACUACAACUCUGAGACUAAUACUAAUAUUCAUGAUACAUCAUAUACGGUUGAAUUAAUGAAGAAGCAUCCUUUUUUAGCACAUAACUACCCAAUAUCAGAAAAAGGUCUAAUCCCAUCAGGUACUACAAAAAUACCAAAAAUGGAAAACAAAGAAAAANNNNNNNNNNNNNNNNNNNNNNNNNNNNNNNNNNNNNNNNNNNNNNNNNNNNNNNNNNN